RNAcentral lists this long non-coding RNA (385 nucleotides) under Ananas comosus (pineapple). Its description in RNAcentral is "long non-coding RNA (ACOM_LNC002224)". Lineage: Eukaryota; Viridiplantae; Streptophyta; Magnoliopsida; Poales; Bromeliaceae. The record is from RNAcentral.
CUGCUGAAAGUCUCGUCUUUCUCGGUAUGCUGCUGAAGCAACUGCGGAACAUGUCGGGCGAUCCGCCAGAAACCCUAAACCCUAAACCCUAAACCCUAAACCCUUAAUUGAUAUUUGAAGGGCAAAUAAGAAAAGUAUUUGCUAUAUGAAGGGUAUAUAAGAAAAGUUAGUUACGGUAUAAGGGUAUAUUGAAAUGAGCAAAAUGGUAAUUUUUUAGAGAUAACGGCAACUGUUAACACCUUACUAACCGAAUUUAACUCCAGGGGUAUAUUAGAAAGAACUUGGAACAUAAGAAGAGUAUUUUCAAUAUUAGCCUUCUAAAAGGGGUAAAUAAGAAAACCGGAAACUUUUCAGGGAUAUAUAGGCAAUUGCUCCUAGAAUUUAU